RNAcentral lists this ribosomal RNA (491 nucleotides) under uncultured bacterium. Its description in RNAcentral is "partial 16S ribosomal RNA". It matches the Rfam family "Bacterial small subunit ribosomal RNA", at positions 29 to 507 of the family's 1533-position model. The record is from RNAcentral.
GUGAACGCUGGCGGUAGGCCUAACACAUGCAAGUCGAACGGCAGCACAGUAAGAGCUUGCUCUUACGGGUGGCGAGUGGCGGACGGGUGAGGAAUACAUCGGAAUCUACUUUUUCGUGGGGGAUAACGUAGGGAAACUUACGCUAAUACCGCAUACGACCUACGGGUGAAAGCAGGGGAUCUUCGGACCUUGCGCGAUUGAAUGAGCCGAUGUCGGAUUAGCUAGUUGGCGGGGUAAAGGCCCACCAAGGCGACGAUCCGUAGCUGGUCUGAGAGGAUGAUCAGCCACACUGGAACUGAGACACGGUCCAGACUCCUACGGGAGGCAGCAGUGGGGAAUAUUGGACAAUGGGCGCAAGCCUGAUCCAGCCAUACCGCGUGGGUGAAGAAGGCCUUCGGGUUGUAAAGCCCUUUUGUUGGGAAAGAAAAGCAGCAGGUUAAUACCCCGCCGUUCUGACGGUACCCAAAGAAUAAGCACCGGCUAACUUCGUG